UACGUAGGGUGCAAGCGUUGUCCGGAAUUAUUGGGCGUAAAGAGCUCGUAGGCGGUUUGUUGCGUCGGCUGUGAAAUCCCGAGGCUCAACCUCGGGUCUGCAGUCGAUACGAGCAAACUAGAGUGUUGCAGGGGAGACUGGAAUUCCUGGUGUAGCGGUGAAAUGCGCAGAUAUCAGGAGGAACACCGGUGGCGAAGGCGGGUCUCUGGGCAAUUCCUGACGCUGAGGCGCGAAAGCGUGGGGAGCAAACGGG
Molecule: ribosomal RNA, 253 nt
Filed under: uncultured bacterium
Lineage: Bacteria
Description: partial 16S ribosomal RNA
Rfam family: Bacterial small subunit ribosomal RNA
Source: RNAcentral